AGUGAACGCUGGCGGUAGGCCUAACACAUGCAAGUCGAACGGCAGCACAGUAAGAGCUUGCUCUUACGGGUGGCGAGUGGCGGACGGGUGAGGAAUACAUCGGAAUCUACUUUUUCGUGGGGGAUAACGUAGGGAAACUUACGCUAAUACCGCAUACGACCUACGGGUGAAAGCAGGGGAUCUUCGGACCUUGCGCGAUUGAAUGAGCCGAUGUCGGAUUAGCUAGUUGGCGGGGUAAAGGCCCACCAAGGCGACGAUCCGUAGCUGGUCUGAGAGGAUGAUCAGCCACACUGGAACUGAGACACGUUCCAGACUGCUACGGGAGGCAGCAGUGGGGAAUAUUGGACAAUGGGCGAAAGCCUGAUCCAGCCAUACCGCGUGGGUGAAGAAGGCCUUCGGGCCGUAAAGCCUUUUUGUUGGGAAAGAAAAGCAGCAGGUUAAUACCCCGCUGUUCUGACGGUACCCAAAGAAUAAGCACCGGCUAACUUCGUG
This 492-nucleotide ribosomal RNA is filed under the name uncultured bacterium. Its description in RNAcentral is "partial 16S ribosomal RNA". It matches the Rfam family "Bacterial small subunit ribosomal RNA", at positions 29 to 507 of the family's 1533-position model. The record is from RNAcentral.